GGGCGGUUAGCUCAGUGGUAGCAGCGCUUCCUUGACACGGAAGAGGUCACUGGUUCGAACCCAGUACCGCCCACCA
This 76-nucleotide transfer RNA is filed under the name Synergistaceae bacterium. RNAcentral describes it as "tRNA-Val". It matches the Rfam family "tRNA". From Rfam's summary of the family: Transfer RNA (tRNA) molecules are approximately 80 nucleotides in length. The record is from RNAcentral. Lineage: Bacteria; Thermotogati; Synergistota; Synergistia; Synergistales; Synergistaceae.